RNAcentral lists this ribosomal RNA (465 nucleotides) under Vreelandella stevensii. RNAcentral describes it as "partial 16S ribosomal RNA". It matches the Rfam family "Bacterial small subunit ribosomal RNA", at positions 338 to 795 of the family's 1533-position model. The record is from RNAcentral. Lineage: Bacteria; Pseudomonadati; Pseudomonadota; Gammaproteobacteria; Oceanospirillales; Halomonadaceae.
CCUACGGGGGGCUGCAGUGGGGAAUAUUGGACAAUGGGGGCAACCCUGAUCCAGCCAUGCCGCGUGUGUGAAGAAGGCCCUCGGGUUGUAAAGCACUUUCAGUGAGGAAGAACGCCUGGUGGUUAAUACCCAUCAGGAAAGACAUCACUCACAGAAGAAGCACCGGCUAACUCCGUGCCAGCAGCCGCGGUAAUACGGAGGGUGCGAGCGUUAAUCGGAAUUACUGGGCGUAAAGCGCGCGUAGGUGGCUUGAUAAGCCGGUUGCGAAAGCCCCGGGCUCAACCUGGGAACGGCAUCCGGAACUGUCAAGCUAGAGUGCAGGAGAGGAAGGUAGAAUUCCCGGUGUAGCGGUGAAAUGCGUAGAGAUCGGGAGGAAUACCAGUGGCGAAGGCGGCCUUCUGGACUGACACUGACACUGAGGUGCGAAAGCGUGGGUAGCAAACAGGAUUAGAUACCCUAGUAGUC